CCCGCGGACAGCUGGGCCAGGGUGCGGGCCUGCGCCUCCCUCGGCUCCUGGCGCGGGCCUCGGGGAGAGGCUCUAAGAUGGAGGACAGCGAUAUCUGCCCUAGGCACACCACAGGGUGAUUGCAGGGUUGACACUGCCUGCCUGAAAACGAAGGAGCGCCGGUUCUCAACCCGGCAACCAGUAGAAUCGCUUGGGAAGCCUCCAAAUGCUGAUGCCCCAUCAUCACCGGGGAAUUGUGAUCUGCGGCCAGGACCGAGAUCCACGGGCCCAGAGUGAAAUGACAGUACUGUGAUCACGACUGGAAUAUGCACUUCGCCGAACGUGGAUCACAGUCUUGAGAAAGCAAGCAGCUGGGUUUUUGUUUUGUUUUUUUUCCAAGAAGACAGGGACCUAAUCUGGUUUGCUCGCAUUUAAUUCCUAGUGCCUAGAAUGGUGCAUGUCCCAAAACAUGCACCAUUGAUUAAAUAAUUUCUGAUUACUUCCCGACCUAUUUGGAGGGUUUUCAUUAUAUUUGUUUUAAAAUUAUUAUGGAAACCUUCAAGUCAUAUAUGAAAAUUGAAUAGUAACUGAACUCCCAAUUCAUGAUCAAUUCUGUUUCAUCUGUUACCCUCUCCCCCACUGUAGUAUUUUGAAGCAAAUCUGAAAUGUACCAUUCCAUCUGUUACCUUGUUCAUGUUUAUAAAACACAAUAACACCUUUUUAAAACAUAAAGCCAUUAUCAGUGUACUUAGCACUUCAUUUUACCCUCUACUAUCCAGUCAGCAUUUACAUUUUCCUAGUUGUCUCUUUCCUCUUACCCAGUUUGUCCAAAUCAGUAUCCAAACAAUCUACACACGUUAUAUUUGGUUGAUGUCUCUUAGAUCUCUCUUAAUCUUUUUCUCUUGCUCUUUAUUUUGUUCCC
This 901-nucleotide long non-coding RNA is filed under the name Homo sapiens (human). Its description in RNAcentral is "non-protein coding lnc-ME2-6:1". The record is from RNAcentral. Lineage: Eukaryota; Metazoa; Chordata; Mammalia; Primates; Hominidae.